AUAAGAAGCAGACAAAUAACAAGACAGACGUCCAGAGUUCAGGAGCUGUUGGAUCUGAUCCAGUAGAGAACGAUCCUUCAGUUCAUUCAGACAGUGGAUCAGA
This is a long non-coding RNA of Thalassophryne amazonica, 103 nucleotides long. RefSeq lists it as uncharacterized. The transcript has 3 exons. Lineage: Eukaryota; Metazoa; Chordata; Actinopteri; Batrachoidiformes; Batrachoididae. The record is from RefSeq and is a predicted model, not a curated record.